Molecule: ribosomal RNA, 1008 nt
Filed under: Triticum aestivum (bread wheat)
Lineage: Eukaryota; Viridiplantae; Streptophyta; Magnoliopsida; Poales; Poaceae
Description: partial small subunit ribosomal RNA
Source: RNAcentral
AUGUCCUUUGGCAAGGCGGACAUGAGCAAGGAGGGCAUGUACCAGGAGCGCAAGGACGUGCCGGCCACACGGUUCGCGACGCCGCCGCCGAUGCGCCACCGCCAUGCCGGCCACGGUGACCAGCAGCAGCAGCUGGAGUGCUUCUCUGAUGAGGUGGACAGCCGGUGUACCGCCGAGAUGAAGGAGCCUGGGGGCAGUGCGGCCGGCUCCCAGCUCGUUUCAGGCGGCGGCGUUGGCGACGGGUCGAGCAUCGAGGUGGCCAAGAAGCGGAGGGGGCGGCCGCCGGGGUCCAAGAACAAGCCGAAGCCGCCCGUGGUGAUCACGCGGGAGGCGGAGCCCGCGGCGGCGAUGCGGCCGCACGUGAUCGAGAUCCCCGGGGGCCGCGACGUCGCCGAGGCGCUGGCGCGCUUCGCGAGCCGCCGCAACCUCGGGAUCUGCGUGCUCGCCGGCACCGGCGCCGUCGGCAACGUCUCGCUCCGCCACCCCUGCCCCACGGCGCCCGGUGCUGCCCCGGCCGUCGUCGUCUUCCAGGGCCGGUUUGAGAUCCUCUCCAUCUCCGCCACCUUCCUGCCCCCGGCCAUGGCCGCCGUGGCGCCCCAGGCCGCGGCCGUCGCUGCCGGGCUCUCCAUCUCGCUCGCCGGCCCGCACGGCCAGAUCGUCGGCGGCGCAGUCGUGGGCCCGCUCUACGCCGCGACAACAAUCGUCGUCGUCGCCGCCGCCUUCACGAACCCCACCUUCCACCGCCUCCCCGCCGACGACGACGCGCCGAUGCCCGUCUCCGUGUCGCUCUCCGGCAGCGGGGACGCGGACGAACACCGCGCCCGUCAGCACCAGCCAGAGCCGCAAGAGCAGCGCCACCAACGGCGGCACGUGACCCCGUCGGCAGCGCAGCCGGUGGAACCUUGCGGCGUGCCCGUCUACGCCUGCCACCCGCAGCCGCAAGAAGUGAUGUGGCCGCUUGCUGCUCGCGCGCCGCACCAACCGCCACCGCCGCCGCCACCGUACUGA